Molecule: ribosomal RNA, 466 nt
Filed under: uncultured bacterium
Lineage: Bacteria
Description: partial 16S ribosomal RNA
Rfam family: Bacterial small subunit ribosomal RNA
Source: RNAcentral
GAUGAACGCUGGCGGCGUGCUUAACACAUGCAAGUCGAACGGAAAGGCCCAAGCUUGCUUGGGUGCUCGAGUGGCGAACGGGUGAGUAACACGUGGGUGAUCUGCCCUGCACUUUGGGAUAAGCCUGGGAAACUGGGUCUAAUACCGGAUAGGACCAUCGUUUAGUGUCGGUGGUGGAAAGUUUUUCGGUGUGGGGUGAGCUCGCGGCCUAUCAGCUUGUUGGUGGGGUAAUGGCCUACCAAGGCGUCGACGGGUAGCCGGCCUGAGGGGGUGUACGGCCACAUUGGGACUGCGAUACGGCCCAGGCUCCUACGGGAGGCAGCAGUGGGGAAUCUUGCACAAUGGGCGCGAGCCUGAUGCAGCGACGCCGCGUGGGGGAUGACGGCCUUCGGGUUGUAAACUCCUUUCGCCAAGGACGAAGCGUUUUGUGACGGUACUUGGAGAAGAAGCACCGGCUAACUACGUG